GAUGAACGCUGGCGGCGUGCUUAACACAUGCAAGUCGAACGAAGACAUCUGAGUGCUUGCACUUGGAUGGACUGAGUGGCGGACGGGUGAGUAACGCGUGGGUAACCUGCCUUAUACAGGGGGAUAACAGUUGGAAACGACUGCUAAUACCGCAUAAGCGCACGGUAUCGCAUGAUACAGUGUGAAAAACUCCGGUGGUAUAAGAUGGACCCGCGUCUGAUUAGCUUGUUGGCGGGGUAACGGCCCACCAAGGCGACGAUCAGUAGGGGUUCUGAGAGGAAGGUCCCCCACAUUGGAACUGAGACACGGUCCAAACGUCCUACGGGAGGCAGCAAGUGAGGAAUAUUGGUCAAUGGACGAGAGUCUGAACCAGCCAAGUAGCGU
RNAcentral lists this ribosomal RNA (384 nucleotides) under uncultured bacterium. RNAcentral describes it as "bacterial SSU rRNA". It matches the Rfam family "Bacterial small subunit ribosomal RNA", at positions 28 to 402 of the family's 1533-position model. The record is from RNAcentral.